AGGAGCUUUUUUGAAGCAAGUUAAAUUUAAAACUGCUGCCUUUUUGAAAGCUAUACGCAAGGAAAAACAGGAUUGCAUAGGAUAGGAUGGUACAGGACAGAUAUUGCUCUAAAAAGGUAUGUCAAAUUACAAUCAACUAAUCCAUCUUCACUGCUCUUUCUCUCUCUCAAUCUCUACUAUUUCCAUAGUAUAUACUUUUCUUUUUUCACACGAAGGAACCAGACGCCAACCAACAAUCUGUAGAGAGUUUUGGGAAGUUUCUCCAUAGUAUAUACUUCUCUUUUUUCACACGAAGGAACCAGACGCCAACCAACAAUCUGUAGAGAGUUUUGGGAAGUUUCUCGUAUUGCUCAUAAAAGUAUAUAUAGAGUACAGAGAAAUCAAAUCCUACCAACUAUAAGACUGUACAAUAAUAAGAAAAUAUUCUACCAAUAAUAAAGACAUACACACAAUUAUAUUCUAACACAAUCAUCACAUCUAUUGACUUUUUGUCAGACACUGCAACAAUGGUGCUAUGGUGCUUGCCGACAACAUGCUGGUUGCGUAAAUGCAUCGUCACCUUUUGUCUGUAUCAGAUACUUGCGAAUUGCAAUUUGUAAAUAUAAUAUGUAUGUGAACAGUACUACUAUAAAUCAACUAUUCUAUUGGUCCAAGUGCAUGCAAAUAGUCAUCCCGUAUUUUCAACUCUUAAUAAGGAUAGUUGAUAUAUUCAAUUGAUAAACAAAAUGGAAUAUAUGUAGUAUUAUGUUUGUAUUCAAUUAUAUUUUCAUACCAGCAAAUAUUGGGCAUGUGCUGGCAGUUUAGGAUAGUUACCUUUAUUUUUCAGGUGGAAUAGUCUAUGAUCUCAAAAAUACUUUUCUUCUUAGCUUUUACCUAUUAAGCGCGAAAUUUGUAAUGUUAUUGUUUUGUAAUUUGAUAGCCAAGUUGAACCUCUUUCUCAUUUUUUUCUUAUUUUACUUUGUGGGAAUUAGGUAUAAUGUGAUGACAAUUUGUGGACAGUGGACACUCGUUGAACAAGGAACUACAGAAGGAAAUCAAAGUGGAAAAUCCCUUGUUGCAUAAGUGCUGAGUUGAACUAAACCAGUAUCCCAUGAGUCAGGCUGCAUACAUGACUAAAAAUUCAGAUUUUUCUCACAUGGAAUUGGAUAGUUUACUAUUACAUAGAGGCUUGGUCACUUUUAUUAGUGGGACAGUUAAGCAUGUAUAUGCAGAUUGAUUUUAAAUCCAGUAGAUUGAGAAGA
Molecule: long non-coding RNA, 1241 nt
Filed under: Nicotiana benthamiana
Lineage: Eukaryota; Viridiplantae; Streptophyta; Magnoliopsida; Solanales; Solanaceae
Description: long non-coding RNA (NBEN_LNC005787)
Source: RNAcentral